CAAGAGCGUAUAUUAAAGUUGUUGCAGUUAAAAAGCUCGUAGUUGGAUUUCUGGUACAACGCGCCUGGCCCGCUUUUGUGAGUGCCGGUGCGCGUUUGCCAUCCUUCUAGAAAACGUUUCUACCCGGGUAACUGGGCUGGACUCGCGAUCUAGAUCUUUUUACUUUGAAAAAUUAGAGUGUUUAAAGCAGGCUUUUGCUGUGAAUACAUUAGCAUGGAAUAAUGGAAAAGGACUUCAACCUCUUCUGUUGGUCUGAGAGGCUGUAGUAAUGAUUAAUAGGGAUAGUUGGGGGCAUUAGUACUUAACUGUCAGAGGUGAAAUUCUCCGAUUUGUUAAAGACUAACUUAUGCGAAAGCAUUUGCCAAGGAUGUUUUUCAUUAAUCAAGAACGAAAGUUAGGGGAUCAAAGAUGAUUAGAUACCA
This 422-nucleotide ribosomal RNA is filed under the name uncultured eukaryote. RNAcentral describes it as "bacterial SSU rRNA". It matches the Rfam family "Eukaryotic small subunit ribosomal RNA", at positions 592 to 1017 of the family's 1831-position model. The record is from RNAcentral.